CGUAGGGUGCGAGCGUUAAUCGGAAUUACUGGGCGUAAAGCGUGCGCAGGCGGUUUUGUAAGACAGGCGUGAAAUCCCCGGGCUCAACCUGGGAACUGCGUUUGUGACUGCAAGGCUAGAGUAUGGCAGAGGGGGUGGAAUUCCACGUGUAGCAGUGAAAUGCGUAGAGAUGUGGAGGAACACCGAUGGCGAAGGCAGCCCCCUGGGCCAAUACUGACGCUCAUGCACGAAAGCGUGGGUAGCAAACAGGAUUAGAUACCCUGGUAGUCCACGCCCUAAACGAUGUCAACUAGGUGUUGGGUGGGUAAAACCAUUUAGUACCGGAGCUAACGCGUGAAGUUGACCGCCUGGGGAGUACGGCCGCAAAGGUUA
RNAcentral lists this ribosomal RNA (372 nucleotides) under uncultured organism. Its description in RNAcentral is "bacterial SSU rRNA". It matches the Rfam family "Bacterial small subunit ribosomal RNA", at positions 526 to 896 of the family's 1533-position model. The record is from RNAcentral.